AACGAACGCUGGCGGCAUGCCUAACACAUGCAAGUCGAACGAGACCUUCGGGUCUAGUGGCGCACGGGUGCGUCACGCGUGGGAACCUGCCCUUAGGUUCGGAAUAACUCCCCGAAAGGGGUGCUAAUACCGGAUAAUGUCUUCGGACCAAAGAUUUAUCGCCUUUGGAUGGGCCCGCGUUGGUUUAGCUAGUUGGUAGGGUAAAAGCCUACCAAGGCGGCGAUCCAUAGCUGGUCUGAGAGGAUGAUCAGCCACACUGGGACUAAGACACGGCCCAGACUCCUACGGGAGGCAGGAGUGGGGAAUAUUGGACAAUGGGCGGAAGGCUGAAGCAGCAAUGCCGCGUGAGUGAUGAAGGCCUUAGGGUUGUAAAGCUCUUUUACCCGGGAUGAUAAUGACAGUACCGGGAGAAUAAGCACCGGCUAACUCCGUG
Molecule: ribosomal RNA, 433 nt
Filed under: uncultured bacterium
Lineage: Bacteria
Description: partial 16S ribosomal RNA
Rfam family: Bacterial small subunit ribosomal RNA
Source: RNAcentral